Molecule: small nuclear RNA, 128 nt
Organism: Galendromus occidentalis (western predatory mite)
Lineage: Eukaryota; Metazoa; Arthropoda; Arachnida; Mesostigmata; Phytoseiidae
Product: U11 spliceosomal RNA
Exons: 1
Source: RefSeq, a predicted model, not a curated record
UAAAAGGGCGGCUGGUGGCAACCACACUGUGAGCCUGACUUCGCAGUGCAGAAUCGCCAUCAAGAGAUUCUGGUCGCAUAAUUUUUGACUCGGGUAGCCGGUGAUGCCCUCGGGGCUCUGGCACCCUC